Non-coding RNA from Gymnopus androsaceus JB14, 102 nucleotides. NCBI's taxonomy places the organism in Eukaryota, Fungi, Basidiomycota, Agaricomycetes, Agaricales, Omphalotaceae. The record is from the annotation of a GenBank genome assembly.
GACCCCUUAGCUCAGUGGUAGAGCGUGUGAUUCCAGUGCAUUUGCUAUUGCUAACUGUAUAGUGAAUCCACAAGGUCGUCCGUUCAAUCCGGGCAGGGGUCA